GUGCCAGCAGCCGCGGUAAUACGGGGGGAGCAAGCGUUGUUCGGAUUUACUGGGCGUAAAGGGCGCGUAGGCGGUCGUGACAAGUCACUUGUGAAAUCUCCGGGCUUAACUCGGAACGGUCAAGUGAUACUGUCGGACUAGAGUACAGAAGGGGCAACUGGAAUUCUCGGUGUAGCGGUGAAAUGCGUAGAUAUCGAGAGGAACACCUGCGGCGAAGGCGGGUUGCUGGGCUGAUACUGACGCUGAGGCGCGAAAGCCAGGGGAGCGAACGGGAUUAGAUACCCUCGUAGUCC
This 293-nucleotide ribosomal RNA is filed under the name uncultured bacterium. Its description in RNAcentral is "partial 16S ribosomal RNA". It matches the Rfam family "Bacterial small subunit ribosomal RNA", at positions 505 to 796 of the family's 1533-position model. The record is from RNAcentral.